AUAUCUCUCCGUACGGGAAGGAUGAGAAGCUUCGACUAAGGUUCGAUUCGAGCGAAAGCGAGAAAGCGUUGCCGCAGGCAACGACCCGAAGGGCGAAGCGCGCAGCGCUGAGUCAUCCUUCCCCCACCACCA
Molecule: small RNA, 132 nt
Filed under: Salmonella enterica subsp. enterica serovar Infantis
Lineage: Bacteria; Pseudomonadati; Pseudomonadota; Gammaproteobacteria; Enterobacterales; Enterobacteriaceae
Also listed under: 156 other names
Description: RtT sRNA
Rfam family: RtT RNA
About the family: This family represents a bacterial cis-regulatory element known as RtT RNA. The exact function of RtT is unknown although it is thought that it may be involved in changing the cellular response in relation to amino acid starvation.
Source: RNAcentral